This 495-nucleotide ribosomal RNA is filed under the name uncultured bacterium. Its description in RNAcentral is "partial 16S ribosomal RNA". It matches the Rfam family "Bacterial small subunit ribosomal RNA", at positions 28 to 507 of the family's 1533-position model. The record is from RNAcentral.
GACGAACGCUGGCGGCGUGCCUAAUACAUGCAAGUAGAACGCUGAAGGAGGAGCUUGCUCUUCUGGAUGAGUUGCGAACGGGUGAGUAACGCGUAGGUAACCUGCCUGGUAGCGGGGGAUAACUAUUGGAAACGAUAGCUAAUACCGCAUAACAGUAGAUGUUGCAUGACAUUUACUUAAAAGGUGCAAUUGCAUCACUACCAGAUGGACCUGCGUUGUAUUAGCUAGUUGGUGGGGUAACGGCUCACCAAGGCGACGAUACAUAGCCGACCUGGGAGGGUGGUCGGCCACACUGGGACUGAGACACGGGCCAGACUCCUUCGGGAGGCAGCAGUAGGGAAUCUUUGGCAAUGGGCGGAAGUCUGACCGAGCAACGCCGCGUGAGGGAAGAAGGUUUUCGGAUCGGAAAGCUCUGUUGUAAGGGAAGAAAGAGUGUGAGAGUGGAAAGUUCACACUGUGACGGUAUCUUACCAGAAAGGGACGGCUAACUACGUG